Molecule: ribosomal RNA, 468 nt
Filed under: uncultured bacterium
Lineage: Bacteria
Description: partial 16S ribosomal RNA
Rfam family: Bacterial small subunit ribosomal RNA
Source: RNAcentral
GAUGAACGCUGGCGGCGUGCUUAACACAUGCAAGUCGAACGGUGAAGGCGGAGCUUGCUCUGCUGGAUCAGUGGCGAACGGGUGAGUAACACGUGAGCAAUCUGCCCCUGACUCUGGGAUAAGCGCUGGAAACGGCGUCUAAUACUGGAUACGAGCUGCGAAGGCAUCUUCAGCAGCUGGAAAGAACUUCGGUCAGGGAUGAGCUCGCGGCCUAUCAGCUUGUUGGUGAGGUAACGGCUCACCAAGGCGUCGACGGGUAGCCGGCCUGAGAGGGUGACCGGCCACACUGGGACUGAGACACGGCCCAGACUCCUACGGGAGGCAGCAGUGGGGAAUAUUGCACAAUGGGCGAAAGCCUGAUGCAGCAACGCCGCGUGAGGGACGACGGCCUUCGGGUUGUAAACCUCUUUUAGCAGGGAAGAAGCGAAAGUGACGUUACCUGCAGAAAAAGCGCCGGCUAACUACGUG